AUCCGGCCGACGAGUCCCAAAUAGGACGAAACGCGCGUCAAACUAGAU
RNAcentral lists this non-coding RNA (48 nucleotides) under Schistosoma haematobium. Lineage: Eukaryota; Metazoa; Platyhelminthes; Trematoda; Strigeidida; Schistosomatidae. The record is from RNAcentral.